AUUGAACGCUGGCGGCAUGCCUAACACAUGCAAGUCGAACGGAGAUAGGGGCAACCUUAUUUCAGUGGCGGACGGGUGAGGAAUGCGUCGGAAUCUGCCCUAUGGUGGGGGAUAACACAGGGAAACUUGUGCUAAUACCGCAUAAUGUCGAGAGACCAAAGCAGGGGACCGCAAGGCCUUGCGCGAUAGGAUGAGCCGACGCCCGAUUAGCUUGUUGGUAGGGUAAUGGCCUACCAAGGCGACGAUCGGUAGCUGGUCUGAGAGGAUGAUCAGCCACACUGGGACUGAGACACGGCCCAGACUCCUACGGGAGGCAGCAAAGUGGGGAAUAUUGGACAAUGGGCGCAAGCCUGAUCCAGCAAUGCCGCGUGUGUGAAGAAGGCCUGCGGGUUGUAAAGCACUUUUGUUCGGGAAGAAAUCAUGUCGGUUAAUACCCGAUGUGGAUGACGGUACCGAAAGAAUAAGCACCGGCUAACUUCGUGCCAG
Molecule: ribosomal RNA, 486 nt
Filed under: uncultured bacterium
Lineage: Bacteria
Description: bacterial SSU rRNA
Rfam family: Bacterial small subunit ribosomal RNA
Source: RNAcentral